CCCCACUCCUCAGGGCCCUGUCUCCCAACCCUUGUACCAGCGCUGCCAAGUUGCUGGUACAGGUUUGGGGGGCAGGGACCUGGGGACCCCAGCAG
This 95-nucleotide microRNA precursor is filed under the name Sorex araneus (European shrew). RNAcentral describes it as "microRNA 150 (ENSSARG00000015948.1)". The stretch from base 8 to 85 matches the Rfam family "mir-150 microRNA precursor family". Lineage: Eukaryota; Metazoa; Chordata; Mammalia; Eulipotyphla; Soricidae. The record is from RNAcentral.